CCUACGGGUGGCAACAGUGAGGAAUAUUGGUCAAUGGUCGGGAGACUGAACCAGCCAAGCCGCGUGAGGGAGGAAGGUACAGAGUAUCGUAAACCUCUUUUGUCAGGGAACAAAGACUGGGACGCGUCCCCGGAUGAGUGUACCUGAAGAAAAAGCAUCGGCUAACUCCGUGCCAGCAGCCGCGGUAAUACGGAGGAUGCGAGCGUUAUCCGGAUUUAUGGGGUUAAAAGGGUGCGCAGGCGGUCUGUUAAGUCAGCGGUCAAGGCCCGGGGAUCAACCCCGGCCCGCCGUUGCAACUGGCAGUCUCGAGUUGGAGAGAAGUAUGCGGAAUGCGCGGUGUAGCGGUGAAAUGCAUAGAUAGCGCGCAGAACUCCGAUUGCGAAGGCAGCAUGCCGGCUCCACACUGACGCUGAGGCACGAAAGCGUGGGUAUCGAACAGGAUUAGAUACCCUUGUAGUC
This 459-nucleotide ribosomal RNA is filed under the name uncultured bacterium. Its description in RNAcentral is "partial 16S ribosomal RNA". It matches the Rfam family "Bacterial small subunit ribosomal RNA", at positions 338 to 795 of the family's 1533-position model. The record is from RNAcentral.